This 429-nucleotide ribosomal RNA is filed under the name Chloroflexota bacterium. RNAcentral describes it as "Chloroflexi bacterium partial 16S ribosomal RNA". It matches the Rfam family "Bacterial small subunit ribosomal RNA", at positions 355 to 776 of the family's 1533-position model. The record is from RNAcentral. RNAcentral also lists the same sequence under 1 other name. Lineage: Bacteria; Bacillati; Chloroflexota.
UAGGGAAUCUUCGGCAAUGGACGAAAGUCUGACCGAGCAACGCCGCGUGAGUGAAGAAGGUUUUCGGAUCGUAAAACUCUGUUGUUAGAGAAGAACAAGGACGUUAGUAACUGAACGUCCCCUGACGGUAUCUAACCAGAAAGCCACGGCUAACUACGUGCCAGCAGCCGCGGUAAUACGUAGGUGGCAAGCGUUGUCCGGAUUUAUUGGGCGUAAAGCGAGCGCAGGCGGUUUCUUAAGUCUGAUGUGAAAGCCCCCGGCUCAACCGGGGGGGGUCAUUGGAAACUGGGAGACUUGAGUGCAGAAGAGGAGAGUGGAAUUCCAUGUGUAGCGGUGAAAUGCGUAGAUAUAUGGAGGAACACCAGUGGCGAAGGCGGCUCUCUGGUCUGUAACUGACGCUGAGGCUCGAAAGCGUGGGGAGCAAACAGG